RNAcentral lists this ribosomal RNA (253 nucleotides) under uncultured bacterium. Its description in RNAcentral is "partial 16S ribosomal RNA". It matches the Rfam family "Bacterial small subunit ribosomal RNA", at positions 524 to 776 of the family's 1533-position model. The record is from RNAcentral.
UACGUAGGGUGCGAGCGUUAAUCGGAAUUACUGGGCGUAAAGCGUGCGCAGGCGGUGAUGUAAGACAGAUGUGAAAUCCCCGGGCUCAACCUGGGAACUGCAUUUGUGACUGCAUCGCUGGAGUGCGGCAGAGGGGGAUGGAAUUCCGCGUGUAGCAGUGAAAUGCGUAGAUAUGCGGAGGAACACCGAUGGCGAAGGCAGCCAUCUGGACCGACACUGACGCUCAUGCACGAAAGCGUGGGGAGCAAACAGG